GAGGGAAAGUUGAAAAGAACUUUGAAGAGAGAGUUCAAUAGUACGUGAAACCGUUCAGGGGUAAACCUGAGAAACCCAAAAGAUCGAAUGGGGAGAUUCAUCGUCAGCUGCUUUGGCUUGCGUGCGGGCACGAUGAUCGGGGCUUCGGUUCCGUGUCACGCGCUCGCUGCGCCAUGUCCGAGGUGGUCGGCGUGCACUUCUCCCCUAGUAGGACGUCGCGACCCGUUGGGUGCUGGUCUACGGCUCGGUUGUAAGUCUGACGUUGUCUAGUUUAUGCGUGUCACGCGUUAGACAACUGAAUGCCUGACCGGCUGCCCGGCGGUAUUGAACGAUAAUUAAACGGAAUUGGGCCGAAUCAAGUGCUUACAGGCCCUUUGGCAGGCUUGCCUCGCUCGGAUUUACGGACCUAAGGCCAUUGCCCGGUGCUUGGUAAAUUGUUAUACUGAAGUGGUCCUCGGACUGGCUCUUUAUAUUCGAACUGAUAUACCGGUCGGCGACGCUACUGCUUAGGGUACUUUCAGGACCAGUCU
RNAcentral lists this ribosomal RNA (530 nucleotides) under Encarsia strenua. RNAcentral describes it as "eukaryotic LSU rRNA". It matches the Rfam family "Eukaryotic large subunit ribosomal RNA", at positions 355 to 654 of the family's 3401-position model. The record is from RNAcentral. Lineage: Eukaryota; Metazoa; Arthropoda; Insecta; Hymenoptera; Aphelinidae.